AUUGAACGCUGGCGGCAUGCCUUACACAUGCAAGUCGAACGGCAGCACGGGGGCGAACCCUGGUGGCGAGUGGCGAACGGGUGAGUAAUGCAUCGGAACGUGCCCCGUAGCGGGGGAUAACCAGUCGAAAGACUGGCUAAUACCGCAUACGCUCCACGGAGGAAAGCAGGGGAUCGCAAGACCUUGCACUAUGGGAGCGGCCGAUGCCCGAUUAGCUAGUUGGUGAGGUAAAGGCUCACCAAGGCGACGAUCGGUAGCUGGUUUGAGAGAACGACCAGCCACACUGGGACUGAGACACGGCCCAGACUCCUACGGGAGGCAGCAGUGGGGAAUUUUGGACAAUGGGCGCAAGCCUGAUCCAGCCAUGCCGCGUGCGGGAUGAAGGCCU
This 388-nucleotide ribosomal RNA is filed under the name uncultured bacterium. RNAcentral describes it as "bacterial SSU rRNA". It matches the Rfam family "Bacterial small subunit ribosomal RNA", at positions 29 to 417 of the family's 1533-position model. The record is from RNAcentral.